UACGUAGGGUGCAAGCGUUAAUCGGAAUUACUGGGCGUAAAGCGUGCGCAGGCGGUGAUGUAAGACAGAUGUGAAAUCCCCGGGCUCAACCUGGGAACUGCAUUUGUGACUGCAUCGCUGGAGUACGGCAGAGGGGGAUGGAAUUCCGCGUGUAGCAGUGAAAUGCGUAGAGAUGUGGAAGAACACCGAUGGCGAAGGCAGCCCCCUGGGAUAACACUGACGCUCAGGCUCGAAAGCGUGGGGAGCAAACAGG
This 253-nucleotide ribosomal RNA is filed under the name uncultured bacterium. RNAcentral's name for it is "partial 16S ribosomal RNA". It matches the Rfam family "Bacterial small subunit ribosomal RNA", at positions 524 to 776 of the family's 1533-position model. The record is from RNAcentral.